ACGAGUUUUGAAAUGGGUUGUAGCUGGCCUUACGAAGGCAUGUGCACACCCUGCUCAUCCACCCUCAUACCCCUGUGCACCUAUUGUAGGCUUGGUGGGAAGACUGGUGUCACAACCAGUCGGAAAGCCUUGCCUAUGUUUUAACACAAACGCUUCAGUUUUAGAAUGUCACAUUUGCGUCUAACGCAUGAAAUA
This 195-nucleotide unclassified non-coding RNA is filed under the name soil metagenome. RNAcentral's name for it is "partial internal transcribed spacer 1". The record is from RNAcentral.